AGGUGAAGAAAUGAAGAAUCAAAGGAGUAAAGAACCGGGCUCAAAGUCACAGGACUAGGAAAUCUUGAGGAGUUUGAUCCUUUCCACCCAGCAGCCAUUAACCAUCUUGUGGGAAGCUGUACAUUGACUCCCACCCUGUGCCACCCUGAGGUCCUCACCAGAGCUGAGGCAGGGUCGGUACCUUGUCCUCGAGUCUCCAGACCUGGGAAUGAAAUAAGCUUUUCUUCUUUACGAAGUCGCCUAAUCUCAGCUGUCUCACGAAAUCCACACAUGACAGACAUACGCGGGAAGAUACUACUACCUGAACUGCAAGUGAAAGCCGCUGGGGUAUCGAACUCGGUCCUUGCACUUGUGAGGCCGGCACCAGCAGACUGACCUAAAUUCCCGGCUCA
Molecule: long non-coding RNA, 392 nt
Organism: Fukomys damarensis (Damara mole-rat)
Lineage: Eukaryota; Metazoa; Chordata; Mammalia; Rodentia; Bathyergidae
Exons: 4
Source: RefSeq, a predicted model, not a curated record